UGGGGAAUCUUGGACAAUGGGCGAAAGCCUGAUCCAGCCAUGCCGCGUGAGUGACGAAGGUCUUCGGAUUGUAAAGCUCUUUUGGCGGGGACGAUAAUGACGGUACCCGCAGAAUAAGCCCCGGCUAACUUCGUGCCAGCAGCCGCGGUAAUACGAAGGGGGCUAGCGUUGUUCGGAAUUACUGGGCGUAAAGCGCACGUAGGCGGAUUUGUAAGUCAGGGGUGAAAUCCCGGGGCUCAACCUCGGAACUGCCCUUGAUACUGCAAAUCUCGAGUCCGAUAGAGGUGAGUGGAAUUCCUAGUGUAGAGGUGAAAUUCGUAGAUAUUAGGAAGAACACCGGUGGCGAAGGCGGCCCACUGGAUCGGUACUGACGCUGAGGUGCGAAAGCGUGGGGAGCAAACAGGAUUAGAUACCCACGUAGUCCCUGAGCGGGCUGGCAAGGCGCAU
Molecule: ribosomal RNA, 447 nt
Filed under: uncultured bacterium
Lineage: Bacteria
Description: bacterial SSU rRNA
Rfam family: Bacterial small subunit ribosomal RNA
Source: RNAcentral